Molecule: transfer RNA, 69 nt
Filed under: Stenamma megamanni
Lineage: Eukaryota; Metazoa; Arthropoda; Insecta; Hymenoptera; Formicidae
Description: tRNA-Val
Source: RNAcentral
UAAAUUUUAGUUUAAGAUAGAAUAAUUCAUUUACAUUGAAAAGGUUUUAAUAAAAAUUAAGAAAUUUAU